UGUUCCAGUCACCUGCCACCAGCAUUAGAGAACGAACACCUAAAUGCACAUACUUCAGACAGUGAUUCACUCAUCAUUGAGUCACCCACUGAGGAGAAUACUGACCAAGUGUUCAUCGAUUUAUCAGAUGAAAUAAAGACACGGAAUCCUUAAGUCAAUGGCGGAGGAUUCGUGAGGAGCAGGAUGAGGAAUAUUAUCAGUCUUUAAUUGCAGAUCAAGCCAAAGAACUUCAGAAGAUGAAUAGUGAAGAAUCUGAGAAUAGACGCAGAAAG
Molecule: long non-coding RNA, 272 nt
Organism: Megalobrama amblycephala (Wuchang bream)
Lineage: Eukaryota; Metazoa; Chordata; Actinopteri; Cypriniformes; Xenocyprididae
Exons: 3
Source: RefSeq, a predicted model, not a curated record